AUGUGUAUUCUAGAAAGAAAAAAAGAAUGUGUUGGACAUGAGCGGGUUAAGUGCUACAUUGACAAAGGCAUAACAAUAUGGAGAGGCAACAAUGACGACUCAAGGUGGAAAUACGGCGCUACUGGAGUCAUUUCUGUAGCAACUAACCUCGUCCCUGGUCUCAUGCACAGCCUCAUGUUUGAAGGGGAGAACGCGGCCCUAAACGAGAAGCUACUACCUCUGAUGAAAUGGCUCUUCUGCGAGCAUAACCCGAUUGUUCUCGACACCACCCUGGACCAGCUCGGUGUAGUGCGGCCUGUUUUCAGGUUGCCAUACACUCCCCUCCCUCUUGAGAAGAGGGUUGGGUUUGUCCAGAUUGUCGUAGCCAUCGGGUGGGAGAACUUUGUGGGAGAGAAGGAGGUCCGGGUUCUAGACGACGAUGAUUUCGUGUCGAUCAGCAGGUAUUGA
This 447-nucleotide ribosomal RNA is filed under the name Triticum aestivum (bread wheat). RNAcentral describes it as "partial small subunit ribosomal RNA". The record is from RNAcentral. Lineage: Eukaryota; Viridiplantae; Streptophyta; Magnoliopsida; Poales; Poaceae.